This 214-nucleotide unclassified non-coding RNA is filed under the name Hevea brasiliensis (rubber tree). The record is from RNAcentral. Lineage: Eukaryota; Viridiplantae; Streptophyta; Magnoliopsida; Malpighiales; Euphorbiaceae.
GUUGAAUUGAAGACAAUAAAAUUUCCACAAAUUUUGACCAUCGCAAGGCAACAGAGUUUAUGAUCAGCGCGAGCUAAUUACACUGCGAUCAGUGAUCAUAGCUAUGAGAUCGUGGUUUUUACUCAGCAUACAAUCUACAAAUUAAAUUAAAAAUUAAAAGAAGACGAAGAAGUAAUGGUGGAUUUGCUUACAUGUAAGCAUCUAGCAAAAGCUG